Molecule: ribosomal RNA, 298 nt
Filed under: Cornu aspersum (brown garden snail)
Lineage: Eukaryota; Metazoa; Mollusca; Gastropoda; Stylommatophora; Helicidae
Description: Helix aspersa (brown garden snail) partial 16S ribosomal RNA
Source: RNAcentral
GACUGUGCAAAGGUAGCAUAAUCAAUUGGCUUAUAAUUGAGGUCUGGUAUGAACGAAUAAUUGGGUAGUAACUGUCUUAAUGUAUUUUUAUAAAUUUAGUAAGCAAGUGAAAAUACUUGCUCAGUUAUAAAAGACGAGAAGACCCUAGAAACUUAUAUGUGUUUUUGUUGGGGCGACAGGAUUACAAUUAACUAAUCUUAUUUUACGAGACGUAUAACAGGAAGAUUAAGUUACUCUAGGGAUAACAGCAUAAUUUUAAUAGUUUGUGACCUCGAUGUUGGACUAGGUACAGAACUCC